UACGUAGGGUGCAAGCGUUGUCCGGAAUUAUUGGGCGUAAAGAGCUCGUAGGCGGUCUGUCGCGUCUGCUGUGAAAACUCGGGGCUUAACCCCGGGCCUGCAGUGGGUACGGGCAGACUAGAGUGCGGCAGGGGAGACUGGAAUUCCUGGUGUAGCGGUGAAAUGCGCAGAUAUCAGGAGGAACACCGGUGGCGAAGGCGGGUCUCUGGGCCGUAACUGACGCUGAGGAGCGAAGGCCAGGGGAGCAAACGGG
RNAcentral lists this ribosomal RNA (253 nucleotides) under uncultured bacterium. RNAcentral describes it as "partial 16S ribosomal RNA". It matches the Rfam family "Bacterial small subunit ribosomal RNA", at positions 524 to 776 of the family's 1533-position model. The record is from RNAcentral.